This 115-nucleotide ribosomal RNA is filed under the name Danio rerio (zebrafish). Lineage: Eukaryota; Metazoa; Chordata; Actinopteri; Cypriniformes; Danionidae. The record is from RNAcentral.
GCCGGCAGCUAGCUCUCUGCAACUCUCACAUGGUCGCCCACUGAAGCUAAGCAGGGCUGCACCUGGUCAGUACCUGGAUGGAAGACCACAUGGGAAAGCUAGAUUGCUGCAGGAA